ACUCCUACGGGAGGCAGCAGUAGGGAAUCUUCCACAAUGGGCGCAAGCCUGAUGGAGCAACACCGCGUGAGUGAAGAAGGGUUUCGGCUCGUAAAGCUCUGUUGUUAAAGAAGAACACGUAUGAGAGUAACUGUUCAUACGUUGACGGUAUUUAACCAGAAAGUCACGGCUAACUACGUGCCAGCAGCCGCGGUAAUACGUAGGUGGCAAGCGUUAUCCGGAUUUAUUGGGCGUAAAGAGAGUGCAGGCGGUUUUCUAAGUCUGAUGUGAAAGCCUUCGGCUUAACCGGAGAAGUGCAUCGGAAACUGGAUAACUUGAGUGCAGAAGAGGGUAGUGGAACUCCAUGUGUAGCGGUGGAAUGCGUAGAUAUAUGGAAGAACACCAGUGGCGAAGGCGGCUACCUGGUCUGCAACUGACGCUGAGACUCGAAAGCAUGGGUAGCGAACAGGAUUAGAUACCCUGGUGGAAAGCC
RNAcentral lists this ribosomal RNA (472 nucleotides) under uncultured bacterium. RNAcentral's name for it is "bacterial SSU rRNA". It matches the Rfam family "Bacterial small subunit ribosomal RNA", at positions 335 to 795 of the family's 1533-position model. The record is from RNAcentral.